RNAcentral lists this ribosomal RNA (1611 nucleotides) under Staphylococcus pseudintermedius. Its description in RNAcentral is "partial 23S ribosomal RNA". It matches the Rfam family "Bacterial large subunit ribosomal RNA", at positions 1292 to 2903 of the family's 2925-position model. The record is from RNAcentral. Lineage: Bacteria; Bacillati; Bacillota; Bacilli; Caryophanales; Staphylococcaceae.
GAAUGCCGGUGUGAGUAGCGAAAGACGGGUGAGAAUCCCGUCCACCGAUUGACUAAGGUUUCCAGAGGAAGGCUCGUCCGCUCUGGGUUAGUCGGGUCCUAAGCUGAGGCCGACAGGCGUAGGCGAUGGAUAACAGGUUGAUAUUCCUGUACCACCAUUAUUCGUUUUAAGCGAUGGGGGGACGCAGUAGGAUAGGCGAAGCGUGCUGUUGGAGUGCACGUCCAAGCAGUGAGAUUGAGUGUUAGGCAAAUCCGGCACUCUUAAGAUUGAGCUGUGAUGGGGAGAGGAACUUGUUCCUCGAGUCGUUGAUUUCACACUGCCGAGAAAAGCCUCUAGCUAGAAUAACGGUGCCCGUACCGCAAACCGACACAGGUAGUCAAGAUGAGAAUUCUAAGGUGAGCGAGCGAACUCUCGUUAAGGAACUCGGCAAAAUGACCCCGUAACUUCGGGAGAAGGGGUGCUCUUUGAGGUUCACGCUUCGAAGAGCCGCAGUGAAUAGGCCCAAGCGACUGUUUAUCAAAAACACAGGUCUCUGCUAAACCGUAAGGUGACGUAUAGGGGCUGACGCCUGCCCGGUGCUGGAAGGUUAAGAGGAGUGGUUAGCGCAAGCGAAGCUACGAAUCGAAGCCCCAGUAAACGGCGGCCGUAACUAUAACGGUCCUAAGGUAGCGAAAUUCCUUGUCGGGUAAGUUCCGACCCGCACGAAAGGCGUAACGAUUUGGGCACUGUCUCAACGAGAGACUCGGUGAAAUCAUAGUACCGGUGAAGAUGCCGGUUACCCGCGACAGGACGGAAAGACCCCGUGGAGCUUUACUGUAGCCUGAUAUUGAAAUUCGGUACAGUUUGUACAGGAUAGGUAGGAGCCUUAGAAGCGUGAGCGCUAGCUUACGUGGAGGCAUUGGUGGGAUACUACCCUAAUUGUAUUGGAUUUCUAACCCGCAGCACUUAUCGUGCUGGGAGACAGUGUCAGGCGGGCAGUUUGACUGGGGCGGUCGCCUCCUAAAGAGUAACGGAGGCGCUCAAAGGUUCCCUCAGAAUGGUUGGAAAUCAUUCAUAGAGUGUAAAGGCAUAAGGGAGCUUGACUGCGAGACCUACAAGUCGAGCAGGGUCGAAAGACGGACUUAGUGAUCCGGUGGUUCCGCAUGGAAGGGCCAUCGCUCAACGGAUAAAAGCUACCCCGGGGAUAACAGGCUUAUCUCCCCCAAGAGUUCACAUCGACGGGGAGGUUUGGCACCUCGAUGUCGGCUCAUCGCAUCCUGGGGCUGUAGUCGGUCCCAAGGGUUGGGCUGUUCGCCCAUUAAAGCGGUACGCGAGCUGGGUUCAGAACGUCGUGAGACAGUUCGGUCCCUAUCCGUCGUGGGCGUAGGAAAUUUGAGAGGAGCUGUCCUUAGUACGAGAGGACCGGGAUGGACAUACCUCUGGUGUACCAGUUGUCGUGCCAACGGCAUAGCUGGGUAGCUAUGUAUGGACGGGAUAAGUGCUGAAAGCAUCUAAGCAUGAAGCCCCCCUCGAGAUGAGAUUUCCCAACUUCGGUUAUAAGAUCCCUCAAAGAUGAUGAGGUGAAUAGGUUCGAGGUGGAAGCGUAGCGAUACGUGGAGCUGACGAAUACUA